UUUCAUAGACUGAAUAUUUGAAGAUUGGAGACUGCCAUGAAGCCCUGCAUAAGUGGAACCUGGAAGUGGGAACCCAUAGGAAGAAAGCAUUUUCCACGAACUGUGUGUGGAUUCAGGCCCUAAACCAGAUGAUGAAAACUUGACUGUUACUACUAAGGUAAAGUGGUCUCUUGUAAAAUUUUCUCACUCAGUAAACUUUUGCAUAGUAUUUACUUUUUAAAAAUUUAGCAGUGGUUUCCCUGUUGCUAUUUUAUGAUGGUUAUGGAAAGUUGGUCAGAGAAAACCUUAGACAUAUGCAUUAGAAAAUGCUUUCCCCAAUAGAGAAAAUAUGAAAUUUGGUUAAGGUUUAAUUAGAUAAAUGUUAAUACUAUGACUUUUAAAUCAUACUAGUGUGACAUCUAUAUUUUUGCCAGUAUAAAUCUUCAGUGGAUCCAAUUACUUGUAAUCAUGGAAUCUCCCUGGAACCUUUUAGUUGGAAAA
Long non-coding RNA from Sapajus apella (tufted capuchin), 480 nucleotides. RefSeq lists it as uncharacterized. The record is from RefSeq and is a predicted model, not a curated record. Lineage: Eukaryota; Metazoa; Chordata; Mammalia; Primates; Cebidae. The transcript has 2 exons.